This is a non-coding RNA of Ceratotherium simum simum (southern white rhinoceros), 491 nucleotides long. Lineage: Eukaryota; Metazoa; Chordata; Mammalia; Perissodactyla; Rhinocerotidae. The record is from the annotation of a RefSeq genome assembly.
UCAGCCAUGUGCCUCAGACUUCUCUGCUGUAUGGCCCUUUUUCUCUGGGGAGCAGGCUCCAUGGACACUAAGGUCACACAGAGUCCUGGACAUCUGAUCAAAGGAAAAGAACAGAAAGCAAAGAUGGAUUGUGUCCCCAUAAAAGGACAUAGUUACAUUUAUUGGUAUCGUCAGAAGCUGGAAGGAGAGUUUGAGUUUUUGGUUUACUUAGAGGAUGAAAAUAUUAUUGAUAAAUCAAAAGUACUCGAUCAGCGAUUCUUAGCUCAAUGCCCCCAAAACUCAGCCUGCAGCCUGCAAAUCAACUCCACUGAGCUAGAGGACUCAGCACUGUAUUUCUGCGCCAGCAGCCAAUCCACAGUGCUGAAUGUGAGCUUUUCUUAGAACACGAACUCAUCCCUCACCCGUCUCAGGAAAUAAGUGGUGUGUUAGGUGCAUAGGAACUAACAGAAACCCAACUUGAAAGAGCAUAAACCAGAAGGAAAAAUGUGUAC